Molecule: long non-coding RNA, 1676 nt
Filed under: Homo sapiens (human)
Lineage: Eukaryota; Metazoa; Chordata; Mammalia; Primates; Hominidae
Description: novel transcript, antisense to STXBP6
Source: RNAcentral
CAGAGUGCGCACUCAGUCACGCAGGAAAUGCCCUUCUCUGGAUUCAGGGGCAGCAGGGAGUAUUGCUGACAGCUCAGCGCUGGUCCGGUCAAGCUCAGAGCCCCAGAAUUGAGGCCCUGAAAUAACAAUCGACCCCUCUCCGAGGGAAAACUAGCCCCGAGGUGCGUAGUUCCCUGGGACUGGGGCUUGCUUUGUGUCUGGUGAAGAGAUAAGGACACACUGCUACACUCAGGAUGAGAAAGGGACAGGAUGGAAAAGCAAGCACGAGCAGCCUCACGUCCUCCAUGUGUUGGCUAAGUGGGGCAGGGAUAUUCGAAGACCUGAUCUCUUCUCCCCGACCCCCUGUUCUGUGCCUCGAUACUUGAGCCCUAAACUUCUGAGCAGGAACUAAAGAUGGUCCAUAGUUCCUAAAGAUCCAAGGUCAGAAGGUCAGAGAUACGGCUGAGGACAUUAGAAAAGAGCCAAAGAAACCAGGAAAAUACUGAAAUAAAGUUUCUUGGCACUGUAGCUCCCCAACACCCCAGAGCUGAGAAGCCUGCUCCUCUCUUGGCCCACCUUGUGCGCAGUUUCUGCAAACUGCUGGGCGCUGUUCUUCAGGUCUUCUGUCUUCUCCUCUGCUCGGCCUAAUCGCUCUCCACGCUCAUUCAAGGCCUGGCUUGCCUUCUGCACUGCGCUGGUCACGCUGUCAGCAGCUGAAUGGAGGAUGCUGUUUCCUGAAAGGAGGAGAGCAGGAGCAUCAGAAACUGGCUCAGCUGACCCACAGUGACCAGACUCCGGCAGGGUGAGUAUCCUGUAAGAGGAAGGCAGGUCACACUGCAGAAAGGCCGCUCGUCUAGUGUCUAGGAAACAAGCCGACAUUUCUUUUGAUUGGGUUUGACUGACGCACUUGCAGCAAGAACACCCACUGACUGCAGGACCUAGGAAAAUCCUAAAUGCUUCUCUAUAAACUCAUCACUGACAUGCCAGUCAUUUCCAUUCUGCCAGUAUUCUAUCUGUGGAGGCUCAAAAGGAUGGGGCCUGUCUGGAUUUACAACUUGGCUUGCAAAGAUAAAUGAAAACGUUGACAAGUUCACAGAAUUAGGCAAGUUCAAUGAGACAUAUCUGGAUCUUAUGUUAUUUCCUUUUGACCUGUGGUUUCGGUGAAUAACCAUAGGAAAACUGGGACCACAGAACUUUUCUAGAUAGAAUGCUCUAUAUUCCUUCCAAUGCUUCUUCUUCAUUUUACCCCUUCAUCCAGCAAGUAAAGAACACCCCAAAAUGUACAGCUUCAUGUAAGAGCUAUGAUCCAGUCUCAAAGCUCAGAGUAGAUGUGUCUGCUCCCAACCUUGGAUUCUGUACCAUGGCUCGGAUGGUUGGGACUCCUUACCUCUGAUCUCUAGUAUGUGAAAUACGGAGCCUCAGGACCAUACUUAACCAGCAGGUACAAAACAGUGAUAGAAACCAGCCCUAGAAGAAACUUGGUACUCCCAAACUCAGGAGUGGUGAUACCAAGAAGGUUGAAAGCCAUUGCAUCUCAGAGGGUCAUGCAUUCCUGACAUCCCAUUUGCCGGGACUGGGCAGCAAAAUUCAAUAGUGAAGAACUUGCCAAUGCAUAAAUCACUGAGAAAUAGCAACUUGCAAAAUGACAACCAAAGGAAAUUUAUAGCUGUAUUUUGUUAACACUGAGUGUGAGAUAU